CGAGUUGGCUGGGCGGCCGCGGCUCGGGCUCAUGUAGCGCCGAGUCGAGGAAAGUCCGGACUUCACAGAGCAGGGUGAUUGCUAACGGCAAUCCGAGGUGACUCGCGGGAAAGUGCCACAGAAAACAGACCGCCACCUGCGCGGUGGUAAGGGUGAAACGGUGCGGUAAGAGCGCACCAGCAUUCCGGGUGACCGGGGUGGCUAGGCAAACCCCACCCGAAGCAAGGUCAAGAAGACCGCACUACGGUGCGGUCGCGCAGGCGUUUGAGGGUUGCUCGCCCGAGCCUGCGGGUAGACCGCUCGAGGCACCCGGUGACGGUGUGUCCAGAUGGAUGGUCGCCGCCGCGUCGAUGACGCGGUACAGAAUCCGGCUUACAGGUCAACUCGCCCG
Molecule: RNase P RNA, 391 nt
Filed under: Mycobacterium sp. 1245111.1
Lineage: Bacteria; Bacillati; Actinomycetota; Actinomycetes; Mycobacteriales; Mycobacteriaceae
Description: RNase P RNA component class A
Rfam family: Bacterial RNase P class A
About the family: Ribonuclease P (RNase P) is a ubiquitous endoribonuclease, found in archaea, bacteria and eukarya as well as chloroplasts and mitochondria.
Source: RNAcentral